AGCUGGUCAGAGAGGGCAGUGGUGUUUACAACUAAUUAAUCACCACCAGACACAGACUUCCUUGUUCCUCUUGCUCUCUCACUGCUUUACUUGACUAGCACAAA
Unclassified non-coding RNA from Otolemur garnettii (small-eared galago), 104 nucleotides. It matches the Rfam family "Y RNA". From Rfam's summary of the family: Y RNAs are components of the Ro ribonucleoprotein particle (Ro RNP), in association with Ro60 and La proteins. The Y RNAs and Ro60 and La proteins are well conserved, but the function of the Ro RNP is not known. In humans the RNA component can be one of four small RNAs -- hY1, hY3, hY4 and hY5. The record is from Ensembl. NCBI's taxonomy places the organism in Eukaryota, Metazoa, Chordata, Mammalia, Primates, Galagidae.